CAAGAGUUAGAUAUUUUCUCUUCCUGUCGAAUGCCUGUUGCUGGCAAAAUGUUGAAUAUUUUGAAUGCAAAGAGUUAUAUCACUUUACAUUUUAAAAACAUGUUAUGAUUUUUAACUUAUAGAAUAAGCUGACAGAAAUAACACAAAAUAUGAUGUUUUAAUUACUUUUUUUAUUAUUACACAUACUAUCAAAGAUGCCACUUCAGAUACAGAUAUGACUGUCACUUAACCUGUGUGGUUUUUUAGUUAUUUUAACUUUGUUUUUUCAUAUUUUAGAUGGUUUUUUUGUUUAGCAUAUAUUUUUAAGCAAAAUUUGUUUUCAUUAUUAUUUACUGGUAAUAUUUACGAAUAUCUUUAUGGAAAAAAAUAUUUAAGUAAAUGUUUUGCAAACAAUCUAAAAUUUAAAUAGAUUAGAAAAUAUUUAAUAACAUUUAGAGCAAUUAAUCUUUCAAUGAAAAUUAGAUACAUAUUUGGCUUCGUAAGUUAGUCCAUUUUAAUAUGUGUUUCUGACAUAUUUAUUUAAGAGGUUUGAAAAAAUCCUAAUUCUUAUGUUGAUUUGUUUUUAAAUUUGUUACUAUUGCAUUCUUCAUACAAUAGAAGGAGUAUGUUUAAUAGUUUUUGGAACAUUUUCCUACCCAACGCAAGCUUAUUUAACCCCUCCCCCCCCCCCCCCAUAUUGAUAGCAUGAAAUUUGUUGAAAGAAAUCUUGAUAACGGAGAAUUUGUUGAAAUUUAUCUUGAUAGCGUAGAAUUUGUUGAAAGUCAUGUUGAUAGUGUAGAAUAUGUUGAAAGUCAUGUUGAUAGCGUAGAAUUUAUUGAAAGUCAUUUUGAUAGCGUAGAAUUUGUUGAAAGUUGUGUUGAUAGCGUAGAAUUAGUUGAAAGUCAUCUUGAUAGCGUAGAAUUUAUUGAAAGUCAUGUUGAUAGCGUAGAGUUUGUUGAAAGUCAUGUUGAUACUGUUAAGUUUCUUGAAAAUCAAGUUGAUACUGUAAAGUUUGUUGAAAAUCAAGUUUUUCAAAAUUUUUUCAGGUACUUCGUUCUGUUAAUAAUGAAUUCAAUGGUUAAAAAUCACAAAGUGAUGUUUACCUUUUCAUUCAUAAACUAACAGCAAUGGAAAACAACACAAAUCGAUAAAAGACAUGGUGCAGAGACAUGGUGACAAACACCAGAAACUCAGUUCAAAGGGCACCAAAAUGCUGAAAAUAAAGUUGUGAAGGUACAAGUGUCUCUUCAGUACUUACUGAAGUACGAACACCUUUAAUCGUAAUUAUUUUUGCAGUUUCAUAUUGCUUGUAUGUUUGGUGGACCUAAAUGUCUUGUGAAAAUGUUACCUGUAAACAAAUUAAAUUCUCAAUUUUUAUAUGAUCAAAUUCAUUUGACUGUUGAAGCAGUUAAAGAGUCUAAUAGCAACGCAAAGACAAUCCUUGCUUGUAAUGGAAAUCGAACUAAUCAAGCAUUUUUUUAAAAAUUUGACACAUUUCCUGAAAAACCUUGGCUAACCACCAAUGGAACCUAUUUGUUGUUUGACUUUGUCCACUUAAUCAAAAACAUGCGAAACAAUUGGCUCACAGAAAAAAAAGGAGAAUUAAUUUUUUAUGAAAAUGGUGUUGAGAAAACAGCUUGUUGGAGUCAUUUGAUAAAACUUUUUGAAGCUGAUUCUAAUUGUCUAAUGAAACUUUCUGAUUUGAAUGAAGUUUCUGUUCGACCCAGUCAUAUUGAAAGACAAUCUGUUUCUACCUGUCUAAAAGUGUUUUCUGAAAAAUCAUACAGCGCUUUACUUAAUCAUCCUGAAACCUCCAACAUCUUAAACAUAAAUGAGACUGCUGAUUUUAUUAAAAUGGUUGUUACAUGGUGGAAAAUUUUAAAUGUAAAAAGUGUGGGUGUAGAUUGUAGGUUUAAUGAUGAUCGAAAAGCUGUCAUCAGAAAUCCAAAUGAUGAUAGAUUAAAAUUUAUUUGGGAUUUCGGAGAAAUGGCAUUACGUUUUGACAAGUAAUCAAGGGAAGCGUAUAAAACAAUUUACACAUGAUACAGGAUAUUCCAUAAAUCAUACAUGUAAAGGAAUUGUUGAGUUGACAAAAACACUAUUAAAAGAAAAACACAAAUAUGUUAUGUUGGGAAAAUUUACAACAGACCCACUUGAAAAAGAAUUCAGCAAGUUAAGAUUAGGAUCUGGUGGCACAUAUUUUUUAAGUGUCCAGCAAAUAAUUGAAAAGUUCAAUAUUUCUAAAACUUCACUUUAGUUGUCAUAUAGCAUUAAUGAGUCAACUCCUGAUGCAGGACAUUCUUGCCAAUUUUGUGGAUUUUUACUUGAUGAAUCUUCAGCUGAGGUCUUUGAUAAUUUGCCAACACUAGAAAAAAGUAUAACUGUUCAAUCAAAGAUGUCUCUUGUUUAUAUUGCCGGAUAUGUGUCUCGUAAUGAUGAUUUGCUUAAUGAAAAUGAACUUUUAACCAGAACAAUGUUUUAUUUUGAAAAGUUUGGUCAAUAUCUAAAAUCAGUCGAUAGAGGUGGGUUAAAAGUUCCUUUUGAUAAUACUGUUCAAUGGGUUUUCUUCUCGUUUGUACUAUUUAACUCUAUUAAAGAUAAAGUUUGUCGGACAUCCCUGUGCAACAUUUUUAUGCUUAUAUCGGAUCAUUAUUCUUUUGACAUGGAACGACAUCAUAGUAAUAUACUGUCAAAUAUUUUUAUCAAAAACCACUGCAAACUUUCCACACCAAGAUCGAACAAAGAACCGUCUCUGAAAAUUUUAAAGUUGUCUUGUUAAGUUGACAGUUAUUUAUUGACACUUAUGCUGUUAUUUCUUUAUUGAAAUUUAUUAAUUGAUUUAAA
Molecule: long non-coding RNA, 2823 nt
Organism: Hydra vulgaris (swiftwater hydra)
Lineage: Eukaryota; Metazoa; Cnidaria; Hydrozoa; Anthoathecata; Hydridae
Source: RefSeq, a predicted model, not a curated record